CGAGAGUCCGGCGCGGACGAAACCGUCGCCAACCCGGUCAGGUCCGGAAGGAAGCAGCCGUAACGAAUUCGUUUCGGGUCGUGCCGGGCUCUCACCU
This 97-nucleotide signal recognition particle RNA is filed under the name Alphaproteobacteria bacterium. RNAcentral's name for it is "signal recognition particle sRNA small type". It matches the Rfam family "Bacterial small signal recognition particle RNA". Rfam says of the family: The signal recognition particle (SRP) is a universally conserved ribonucleoprotein involved in the co-translational targeting of proteins to membranes. Archaeal SRP consists of a 7S RNA and homologues of the eukaryotic SRP19 and SRP54 proteins. In most bacteria, the SRP consists of a 4.5S RNA and the Ffh protein (a homologue of the eukaryotic SRP54 protein). The record is from RNAcentral. Lineage: Bacteria; Pseudomonadati; Pseudomonadota; Alphaproteobacteria.